GCGGUAAUAGCUCAGUUGGCAGAGCGUUGGCUUCCCAAGCCGAAGGUCGCGGGUUCGAGCCCCGUUUACCGCUCCA
This 76-nucleotide transfer RNA is filed under the name Prevotella sp. RNAcentral's name for it is "tRNA-Gly". It matches the Rfam family "tRNA". Rfam says of the family: Transfer RNA (tRNA) molecules are approximately 80 nucleotides in length. Their secondary structure includes four short double-helical elements and three loops (D, anti-codon, and T loops). Further hydrogen bonds mediate the characteristic L-shaped molecular structure. tRNAs have two regions of fundamental functional importance: the anti-codon, which is responsible for specific mRNA codon recognition, and the 3' end, to which the tRNAs corresponding amino acid is attached (by aminoacyl-tRNA synthetases). tRNAs cope with the degeneracy of the genetic code in two manners: having more than one tRNA (with a specific anti-codon) for a particular amino acid; and 'wobble' base-pairing, i.e. permitting non-standard base-pairing at the 3rd anti-codon position. Lineage: Bacteria; Pseudomonadati; Bacteroidota; Bacteroidia; Bacteroidales; Prevotellaceae. RNAcentral also lists the same sequence under 2 other names. The record is from RNAcentral.